AACGAACGCUGGCGGUGUGGAUUAGGCAUGCAAGUCGAACGAGAAAGAUUCCUUCGGGGAUCGAGUACAGUGGCAAACGGGUGAGUAACGCGUGGGGAACCUACCUUUUAGUUGGGGACAACACUUCUAACGAGGUGCUAAUACCGAAUGAGAUCUUUCCAUCGCAUGGUGGAUUGAUGAAAGGCGGCCUCUGAUUUAAGCCGUCGCUGAAAGAUGGCCCCGCGUCCCAUUAGUUUGUUGGUGAGGUAACGGCUCACCAAGGCGACGAUGGGUAGCCGGCCUUAGCGGGUGACCGGCCACACUGGGACUGAGAUACGGCCCAGACUCCUACGGGAGGCAGCAGUCGAGAGGCUUCCACAAUGGGGGAAACCCUGAUGGAGCGACACCGCGUGGGUGAUGAAGGUUCUCGGAUCGUAAAACCCUUUCGGUAAGGAAGAAGUUGUUGAGGGUUAAUAUCCCUCGACAGAAGACGGUACUAC
This 479-nucleotide ribosomal RNA is filed under the name uncultured bacterium. RNAcentral describes it as "bacterial SSU rRNA". It matches the Rfam family "Bacterial small subunit ribosomal RNA", at positions 29 to 482 of the family's 1533-position model. The record is from RNAcentral.